RNAcentral lists this transfer RNA (54 nucleotides) under Angiostrongylus cantonensis (rat lungworm). RNAcentral describes it as "tRNA-Thr". Lineage: Eukaryota; Metazoa; Nematoda; Chromadorea; Rhabditida; Metastrongylidae. The record is from RNAcentral.
GCUAGAAUAGUUUAAAUUUAAGAAUUUUUAAUUUGUAAUUAAAAGGUUUUGGCU